This 80-nucleotide microRNA precursor is filed under the name Dipodomys ordii (Ord's kangaroo rat). RNAcentral's name for it is "miRNA (ENSDORG00000021377.2)". Lineage: Eukaryota; Metazoa; Chordata; Mammalia; Rodentia; Heteromyidae. The record is from RNAcentral.
AUUCACGGUGCUUGGGAUAGAGGACGAGAAGGGGAACUGCUAGCUCCUUCAACUCGUUCUGUCCGGUGAGAAGUGAUCAA